UACGGGGGGGGUAAGCGUUGUUCGGAAUCACUGGGCGUAAAGGGCGCGUAGGCGGGAUGGCAAGUCAGUCGUGAAAUCUCUCGGCUCAACCGAGAAACGUCGGCUGAUACUGCCAUUCUUGAGGGAUGCAGAGGAGACUGGAAUUCCCGGUGUAGCGGUGAAAUGUGUAGAGAUCGGGAGGAACACCGGUGGCGAAGGCGGGUCUCUGGGCAUUUCCUGACGCUGAGGCGCGACAGCGUGGGGAGCAAACAGG
This 253-nucleotide ribosomal RNA is filed under the name uncultured bacterium. RNAcentral's name for it is "partial 16S ribosomal RNA". It matches the Rfam family "Bacterial small subunit ribosomal RNA", at positions 524 to 776 of the family's 1533-position model. The record is from RNAcentral.